Molecule: long non-coding RNA, 227 nt
Filed under: Elaeis guineensis (African oil palm)
Lineage: Eukaryota; Viridiplantae; Streptophyta; Magnoliopsida; Arecales; Arecaceae
Description: long non-coding RNA (EGUI_LNC068792)
Source: RNAcentral
GGUGGAGCGCCAAAGGAUAUCUGGCAUGUCCAAUAUGCAACAAGGAUGCAUCCUCUUUACAUUUAAAGUAUGGAUGAAAAAUAUGCUUCAUGGGUCAUCGAUGGUUUUUAUCUGGUAAUCAUUCUUGGAGGACCCGUUACAAUCAAUACAUUGAUGGUAAGUCCGACUGGCAUCUGCCACUUAAGGAGUUAAGUGGAGUAGAAGUUUUAGAAUAACUUGAAGUCAUU